GGUAGCAUAAUCACUUGCCCAUUAAUUGUGGGCUGGAAUGAAAGGAUAAACGAAAUAGAGACUGUCUCAAUUACUAAAAUAAAAAUUAUUAUCUAGGUGAAGAAAUCUAGAUAAAGUCGAAGGACAAGAAGACCCUAUAGAGCUUUAUCUAAAAUAUGGGUAAUACCUUAUUAAGAUUCGGUUGGGGCGACCAAGGAAUGUUAAUCAUCCUUUUAAAAAAGAUCAAUUAAUCAAUAUUAUGACCCUAAAAAUAGGAUCAAAAAAAUAAGCUACCUUAGGGAUAACAGGCUAAUCCCAUUAAAGAGUCCUUAUUAACAAUGGGGGUUGGCACCUC
Molecule: ribosomal RNA, 334 nt
Filed under: Sparganophilus tamesis
Lineage: Eukaryota; Metazoa; Annelida; Clitellata; Lumbriculida; Sparganophilidae
Description: partial 16S ribosomal RNA
Rfam family: Bacterial large subunit ribosomal RNA
Source: RNAcentral